UGGCUCAGAUUGAACGCUGGCGGCAUGCCUUACACAUGCAAGUCGAACGGCAGCGGACCUUCGGGUGCCGGCGAGUGGCGAACGGUGAGUAAUAUAUCGGAACGUACCUUUCAGUGGGGGAUAACGUAGCGAAAGUUACGCUAAUACCGCAUAUUCUGUGAGCAGGAAAGCAGGGGAUCGCAAGACCUUGCGCUGAUUGAGCGGCCGAUAUCAGAUUAGCUAGUUGGUGAGGUAAAGGCUCACCAAGGCGACGAUCUGUANCGGGUCUGAGAGGAUGAUCCGCCACACUGGAACUGAGACACGGUCCAGACUCCUACGGGAGGCAGCAGUGGGGAAUUUUGGACAAUGGGCGCAAGCCUGAUCCAGCCAUGCCGCGUGAGUGAAGAAGGCCUUCGGGUUGUAAAGCUCUUUCGGCCGGGAAGAAAUCGCACAGGUUAAUACCCUGUGUGGAUGACGGUACCGGAAUAAGAAGCACCGGCUAACUACGUG
RNAcentral lists this ribosomal RNA (489 nucleotides) under uncultured bacterium. RNAcentral describes it as "bacterial SSU rRNA". It matches the Rfam family "Bacterial small subunit ribosomal RNA", at positions 20 to 507 of the family's 1533-position model. The record is from RNAcentral.